RNAcentral lists this ribosomal RNA (866 nucleotides) under Neohelicosporium submersum. RNAcentral describes it as "Neohelicosporium sp. WD-2020a partial large subunit ribosomal RNA". It matches the Rfam family "Eukaryotic large subunit ribosomal RNA", at positions 57 to 949 of the family's 3401-position model. Lineage: Eukaryota; Fungi; Ascomycota; Dothideomycetes; Tubeufiales; Tubeufiaceae. The record is from RNAcentral.
AAAAGAAACCAACAGGGAUUGCCUCAGUAACGGCGAGUGAAGCGGCAACAGCUCAAAUUUGAAAUCUGGCUUCGGUCCGAGUUGUAAUUUGUAGAGGAUGCUUCGGCUUACGUACCGGUCUAAGUUCCUUGGAACAGGACGUCACAGAGGGUGAGAAUCCCGUUUGUGGCCGGCACUUCCGCCAUGUGAAGCUCCUUCGACGAGUCGAGUUGUUUGGGAAUGCAGCUCUAAAUGGGAGGUAAAUUUCUUCUAAAGCUAAAUACCGGCCAGAGACCGAUAGCGCACAAGUAGAGUGAUCGAAAGAUGAAAAGCACUUUGGAAAGAGAGUUAAAAAGUACGUGAAAUUGUUGAAAGGGAAGCGCUUGCGACCAGACUUGCCCGCGGAUGCUCAACCGGUCCUUCGGCCGGUGCACUCUUCCGCGGUCAGGCCAGCAUCAGUUCGGGCGGUCGGAUAAAGGCCUUGGGAAUGUGGCUCUCUUCGGGGAGUGUUAUAGCCCUUGGUGCAAUACGGCCCGCCUGGACUGAGGCCCGCGCUUCGGCUAGGAUGCUGGCGUAAUGGUCGUAAGCGGCCCGUCUUGAAACACGGACCAAGGAGUCUAACAUCUAUGCGAGUGUUUGGGUGUCAAACCCGUGCGCGAAAUGAAAGUGAACGGAGGUGGGAACCUUUGGGUGCACCAUCGACCGAUCCUGAUGUCUUCGGAUGGAUUUGAGUAAGAGCAUAGCUGUUGGGACCCGAAAGAUGGUGAACUAUGCCUGAAUAGGGUGAAGCCAGAGGAAACUCUGGUGGAGGCUCGCAGCGGUUCUGACGUGCAAAUCGAUCGUCAAAUUUGGGUAUAGGGGCGAAAGACUAAUCGAACCAUCUAGUA